Molecule: ribosomal RNA, 2628 nt
Filed under: Triticum aestivum (bread wheat)
Lineage: Eukaryota; Viridiplantae; Streptophyta; Magnoliopsida; Poales; Poaceae
Description: partial small subunit ribosomal RNA
Source: RNAcentral
AUGGUUUCGCCGGCGGCCAGCGGCGGCGGCAAUGCGGGCCUCGCUGACCCGCUGCUUGCGACGAACGACAACAGCGAGGGGGCCAGGCAUGUGUUCGGCGCCAAGGCGAAGUACUGGGUGCCCGCCGACGAGAAGGAGAUCGCGGCGUCGCGGGAGUGCGGCGGCGAGGACGGCCGGCCGCUGUUGUACCGCACGUUUAAGGUCAAGGGCAUGCUUGUAAACACCUACAGGUUCUUGAACUUGGCCAGACUUACGGCGGUCAUCGUGUUUUUCGCAUGGCGUGUGCAGCACCCAGAUUCCGACGCAAUGUGGCUGUGGUGGAUCUCGGUCGUCGGAGAUUUCUGGUUCGGCCUGAGCUGGUGGCUAAACCAGGUCCCGAAGCUCAACCCCACCAUAUGCAUCCCCACAAUCCCCCUCCUGAGACAGCAGUUCGACCUGCCCGACGGCGGCUCCAACCUCCCCGUCCUGGACGUGUUCAUCAGCACCGUCGACCCCGUGGAGGAGCCCAUGCUCCACACCAUGAACUCCAUCCUCUCCAUCCUCGCCACCGACUACCCGGUCGACAAGUACGCCACCUACCUCUCGGACGACGGCGGUUCACUGCUCCACUACGACGGGCUGGUCGAGACCGCCAAGUUCGCCGCGCUGUGGGUUCCGUUCUGCCGGAAGCAUCACGUUGAACCAAGGGCGCCGGAGAGCUACUUCGGGGUGAAGAUCCGCCCGUACAUGGGGAAUUUGCCUGAAGAGUUCCUCGAUGAUCAUGGGCGUUUGCGGAGGGAGUAUGAGGAGUUCAAGACGCGCCUGGACGCACUGUUUACUCUCAUCCCGCAACGGUCAGAGGCGCACGGCCGUGAAGACGCCAAAGGAGGAGGAGGGAAGGCGACUUGGAUGGCAGACGGGACACAGUGGCCUGGCACAUGGACUGAGCCGGCUGAAGGUCACCGGAAAGGAGAUCACGCUGGAAUUAUUCAGGUUAUGUUGUCCCAGCCAAGCAGCGAGCCUCAGCUCGGCGAGCCAGCAAGCUCCGACCACAGUCCGCUGGAUUUCAGCGCCGUCGACGUGCGCCUGCCGAUGCUGGUGUACGUGUCCCGGGAGAAGCGCCCGGGCUAUGACCACCAGAAGAAGGCGGGCGCGCUGAACGUGCAGCUGCGCGUCUCCGCCCUGCUCUCCAACGCGCCCUUCAUCAUCAACUUCGACUGCGACCACUACAUCAACAACUCCCAGGCCUUCCGCGCCGCCAUGUGCUUCAUGAUGGACCGGCGCGACGGCGACAACGUGGCCUUCGUCCAGUUCCCGCAGCGCUUCGACGACGUCGACCCGACGGACCGCUACGCCAACCACAACCGCAUGUUCUUCGACGCCACCAUGCUUGGCAUGAACGGCAUCCAGGGGCCCUCCUACGUCGGCACCGGCAGCAUGUUCCGCCGCGUCGCGCUCUACGGCGCCGACCCGCCUCGCUGGCGCCCGGACGACGUCAAGGUGCUGGAGAACCCCAACAAAUUCGGCAAGUCGAUGACGUUCAUCAACUCCAUACCGGUGGCCGCGAACCAGGAACGGUCCGUCAUGUCGCCGGUGUCGCUUGACGAGCCGGCAACGACGGAGCUGGCCGACGUCAUGACGUGCGCGUACGAGGACGGGACGGAGUGGGGCGAUGGCGUCGGGUGGGUGUACGACAUGGCGACGGAGGAUGCGGUUACCGGCUUCCGGCUGCAUCGGACGGGGUGGCGGUCCAUGUACUGCGACAUGGAGCCCCCCGCGUUCUGCGGCACGGCCCCGAUCAACAUGACGGAGCGCAUGUACCAGAUCCUGCGCUGGUCGGGGGGCUCCUUGGAGGUGUUCUUCUCCCGCUUCUGCCCGCUCCUCGCCGGCCGUCGGCUCCACCCCAUGCAGCGCGUCGCCUACACCAACAUGACCUUCUACCCGCUCUCGGCGCUCUUCGUCGUCUGCUACCACCUCCUGCCGCUGAUGUGGGUCUUCAACGGCCAGUUCUACAUCCAGAAGCCCUACCCGACGUACGUGAUGUACGUCCUCAUCAUCAUCGUCUCGAACGAGGUGAUCGGCAUGGUGGAGAUCGUGUGGGCGGGGCUCACGUUGCUCGACUGGUUCCGCAACGAGCAGUUCUACAUGAUCUGUGCGACAGGCGUGUACCCGACGGCGGUGCUGCACGUCGUGCUCAGGUCCCUCGGCCUGAAAGGCAUGUCCUUCAAGAUGACGGCGAAGCAGCUGGCCACCGGCGCGAGGGAGAGGUUCGCCGAGCUGUACGACGUGCAGUGGGCGCCGCUGCUGAUACCCACACUGGUGGUGAUCGCCGUGAACGUGGUUGCCAUCGGCGUGGCGGUGGGGAAGGCGAUCACCUGGGGCUGGUCGGCCGGGCAGGUCGUCGAGGCGGCGAGCGGGCUCAUGUUCAACGUGUGGAUCCUGCUCAUGUUCUACCCGUUCGCGCUCGGGGUUAUUGGGCGCUGGGGCAAGAGGCCCUUUGUCCUCUUCGCCAUGUUUGUGGCCGCGUUCGCUGCCAUUGCGGCGGUGUAUGUCGCCGUCCAGGCCGCGCUCGCUGGCAACCUGCCGUACUUCCAGCUGGGACAUCGGUCAAUCGGCGGUGCCGUUUCUCUGGCAAGCCGGCGGGUUUAA